This 340-nucleotide ribosomal RNA is filed under the name uncultured bacterium. RNAcentral describes it as "bacterial SSU rRNA". It matches the Rfam family "Bacterial small subunit ribosomal RNA", at positions 313 to 650 of the family's 1533-position model. The record is from RNAcentral.
UUGGAACUGAGACACGGUCCAAACUCCUACGGGAGGCAGCAGUGAGGAAUAUUGGUCAAUGGACGAGAGUCUGAACCAGCCAAGUAGCGUGAAGGAUGACUGCCCUAUGGGUUGUAAACUUCUUUUAUACGGGAAUAAAGUGAGCCACGUGUGGCUUUUUGUAUGUACCGUAUGAAUAAGGAUCGGCUAACUCCGUGCCAGCAGCCGCGGUAAUACGGAGGAUCCGAGCGUUAUCCGGAUUUAUUGGGUUUAAAGGGAGCGUAGGCGGGUUGUUAAGUCAGUUGUGAAAGUUUGCGGCUCAACCGUAAAAUUGCAGUUGAUACUGGCGACCUUGAGUGCA